GCGGUGGUAGUUCAGCUGGUAGAACGUCUCCUUCCCAAGGAGAAGGUCGCCGGUUCAAAUCCGGUCCACCGCUCAA
Molecule: transfer RNA, 76 nt
Filed under: Candidatus Curtissbacteria bacterium RBG_16_39_7
Lineage: Bacteria; Candidatus Curtissiibacteriota
Description: tRNA-Gly
Rfam family: tRNA
About the family: Transfer RNA (tRNA) molecules are approximately 80 nucleotides in length.
Source: RNAcentral